This 485-nucleotide long non-coding RNA is filed under the name Sus scrofa (pig). Its description in RNAcentral is "lncRNA (ENSSSCG00015040722.1)". Lineage: Eukaryota; Metazoa; Chordata; Mammalia; Artiodactyla; Suidae. The record is from RNAcentral.
GCACAAGGCGGCUCGGGCUUUGGGCUUCAUGAUACUGGUGCUGUGCCUUUUCUUGGACUCCCAACAUGUCUUGCUUUGCCCAGGAAGGAUUCUGAAAGGGUGGCCAAGAUCAGCCAUAUAUUAUCAUUAAAAACAAUUUUUAUGUUUGCUCUCCUGACGUCUGGGAAGCAGUGACUGUGUCUUGCUAUCCUCAUGCCUACGGCACGUGGGAAGUGCUCCCUGAAGCUCUGUUGUGUGAAUGAAGACAUGACCGCAGUGUUUAGCCAGUCCAGGAACUUCUAAAACUGUAUGAUCGUCUGGGGAGUUGCUGUCGUGGCUCAGCAGAAACGAACUCGGCUAAUAUCCAUGAGGAUGUAACUCACUCUCCCUCCUUCAGUAGUUCUGACCAGCAGCCGCACUGGAGGAGGUGGGGGCAGAGAGGAAGACGACGACGAGGGAGAGGGAGAAGAGGAGAGAAGAGCAAGUUCCCGUCGGGGCGCCCGGGA